This 403-nucleotide unclassified non-coding RNA is filed under the name soil metagenome. Its description in RNAcentral is "partial contains 5.8S ribosomal RNA, internal transcribed spacer 2, and large subunit ribosomal RNA". The stretch from base 1 to 121 matches the Rfam family "5.8S ribosomal RNA", at positions 35 to 154 of the family's 154-position model. The record is from RNAcentral.
GAUGAAGAACGUAGCGAAAUGCGAUAAGUAAUGUGAAUUGCAGAAUUCAGUGAAUCAUCGAAUCUUUGAACGCACCUUGCGCCCUUUGGCUAUUCCGAAGGGCAUGCCUGUUUGAGUAUCAUGAACACCUCAACUCUUCAUGGUUUUCCAUGAAGGGCUUGGACUUUAGGGGUCUUGCUGGCCUUUAGUCAGCUCCUCUCAAACGAAUCAGCUUUCCAGUGUUUGGCAGCGUCACAGGUGUGAUAACUAUCUACGCUUGUGGGUUUCUGCCAGGUAAUCCUCAGUGAUGGGGAUUCGCUGGGGCUUAUAAAUGUCUCUCCUCAGCGAAGACAGCUUUGUGAACGUUUGAUCUCAAAUCAGGUAGGACUACCCGCUGAACUUAAGCAUAUCAAUAAGCGGAGGA